RNAcentral lists this long non-coding RNA (1540 nucleotides) under Nicotiana benthamiana. RNAcentral describes it as "long non-coding RNA (NBEN_LNC005703)". Lineage: Eukaryota; Viridiplantae; Streptophyta; Magnoliopsida; Solanales; Solanaceae. The record is from RNAcentral.
GGAUAUUCCAGAGAGUUCUCUCAACUUCUCUCUCUUUCUCUCACUGUAUCUCUCAUUAUUUUGCCUUCAAUCUGUACGUUUUCAUGGUAUCAGAGCAGGAUGAUCCUCGGAUUCUUCUCCAUUACUUGUUAUCGAUCGUGUUGGAAGUUUUAUUGAAGGUUUUUUUUGGAUAUUUGUGAGAGAUUCUGUUUACCGAGAGAACGAUGUGUAUUGAACGGAUAUUCGAAACUUUUACCGCUGUUUAAUGCUUCGAUCUUCACUCAGUGGAUGUUUUGGGUGAUUUUCCGACAUCCCUGACCUUUUUCCGAUGACUUUCCAGAUUCUAGGGUUUCUGGUGGUUGAACCUAGGGUUUUACUCCUAUCCGAUGGGUAUUGAACGGAUAAUCAGAACUUUUAAUGUUGUUUAAUGCUUCGAUCUUCACUCAGUGGAUGUUUUUGGGUGAUUUUCCGACAUCCCUGACCUUUUUCCGGUGACUUUCCAGAUUCUAGUGUUUCUGGUGGUUGAACCUAGGGUUUUACUGCUAUCCGAUGGCUCGAUCCUCACUCGGUGGAUGUUUUGGGUGAUUUUCCGACGUCCCUGACCCUAUUCCGGUAAGUUUCCAGACCCUACGGUUUCCGGUGGUUGGACCUAGGGUUUUAUCAGGCGAUUGAAGAUCGUUCUUCUCCGGUCGCGAAGAAGGAAGGUAACUCUAUCCAUGUUAUAAGUGUUGUAUAUUUUGCAUGUGGGUUCUGAUUCAAUUUUAGCCUCUUUACUGAGACUGUUUUUUGAUUUCAAACUGGUUAUUGUUCAUGACUUCUAAUAUGAAUGUCAAUACCUCAUCAGUGGACUCUACCAGCCCCCUUUUUGUUUACUCCUCUGAUGUUCCUGGAGUUUCUCUUGUGUCCACUCCUUUCUCGGGCAAUGGUUAUGGGGGGUGGAGGAGGAAAAUGAUUGUCGCGUUAUCUGCUAAGAACAAAAUUGGUUUUGUUGAUGGCACAUGUCCCCGACCAGUCACUAAUGUGACUGAGCAAAGACUAUGAGAUAGAUGCAAUAAUAUGGUAAUUUCCUGGUUAACUGCCUCCGGAGCAAAGACUAUGGGACAAAUGCAAUAAUAUGGUAAUUUCCUGAUUAACUGCCUCCCUGUCCAUCAAAUUGCUGAAAGUGUGCAGUAUUCUGAUACUGCCCAGAGUAUAUGGUCCCAGCUUCGGCCAGAUAUGGCACUGCCAACAGGACCAAAAAUUUUGAACUAAAAAGAGAGCUUUCUCACACUUCUCAAGGGUCUCUAGAUGUUCAUAUUUUAACAAACUUAAAGAUCUGUGGGAUGAAUUAGAAAUAAUGUGUACAAAUCAUGGGCAAAGAUGUGUUUGUGCUGCCAAAAAUGGUAUAAUCCAGGAAGAUGAUGAGAAUAAGGUGUUUCAGUUUCUAAUGGGCCUUAAUGAACCAUACAUGGGGGUAAGGAGUAACCUAUUGAUGAUGCAACCACCUCCAACCCUAGAGAGUGUCUAUAAUAUGGUCCUCAAUGAUGAGAAGCAGAGACAAGUCCAGUCCCCUUCUCAGUUU